UUAACUGAAACCAAAAAAGAGGUUAAUUAUUGUUAAUAAUUAAAAUGAAUUUAUAUUAUUUAUAUUCCAGUUAAU
Molecule: transfer RNA, 75 nt
Filed under: Formica rufa
Lineage: Eukaryota; Metazoa; Arthropoda; Insecta; Hymenoptera; Formicidae
Description: tRNA-Asn
Source: RNAcentral